Molecule: ribosomal RNA, 384 nt
Filed under: Triticum aestivum (bread wheat)
Lineage: Eukaryota; Viridiplantae; Streptophyta; Magnoliopsida; Poales; Poaceae
Description: partial small subunit ribosomal RNA
Source: RNAcentral
AUGGAUGUUGCCUACCACAUCGACUUUGAUGGUUGCAUCAACCUAACUACUGGGUGGAAGGAGUUUGUGGUAGAGUCUGGAUUUGAGGAUGGUGAUGUGGUUAUGGCUGCACUCUCUAGGGUUCUUUUGCUGUUGAACGAGCGUUUGGCGGCAGUGAUACUGGAUUAUGUUGGAGUGCCGUUAAUGACAGCCAUGGUGUUCCUGAGGACAUUGCUGAUGUUGUUAAAGAUAUUAAUGAUGGAAUGUAUUCUCUUAACAUUGAUGAUGGUGAUGGCAGCUUGCAGUUGUCUGUUACUCAGUCUCAAAGUGUUGAUGGCACUGAGCCUGUUACCCAGGCUGAGGAUGUUCCUAUGCACAAAGCUGAUGGGGAUAGUGUUGCUGUGA